GAGGUGUGUGUGAUGUGUGUUCACUAGGAUAUUCUGGAGGUGUGUGUGGUGUGUGUUCACUAGGAUAUUCUGGAGGUGUGUGUGGUGUGUGUUCACUAGGAUAUUCUGGAGGUGUGUGUGGUGUGUGUUCGCUAGGAUAUUCUGGAGGUGUGUGUGGUGUGUGUUCACUAGGAUAUUCUGGAGGUGUGUGUGGUGUGUGUUCACUAGGAUAUUCUGGAGGUGUGUGUGGUGUUUUCACUGGGAUAUUCUGGAGGUGUGUGUGGUGUGUGUUCGCUAGGAUAUUCUGGAGGUGUGUGGUGUGUGUUCACUAGGAUAUUCUGGAGGUGUGUGUGAUGUGUGUUCACUAGGAUAUUCUGGAGGUGUGUGUUCACUAGGAUAUUCUGGAGGUGUGUGGUGUGUGUUCACUAGGAUAUUCUGG
Carassius gibelio (silver crucian carp) is the source of this 418-nucleotide long non-coding RNA. RefSeq lists it as uncharacterized. NCBI's taxonomy places the organism in Eukaryota, Metazoa, Chordata, Actinopteri, Cypriniformes, Cyprinidae. The transcript has 6 exons. The record is from RefSeq and is a predicted model, not a curated record.